UACGAGGGGGGCAAGCGUUGUUCGGAAUUAUUGGGCGUAAAGGGUGCGUAGGCGGUCUGAUAAGUCAUCUGUGAAAUCUAUGGGCUCAACUCAUAGUCUGCAUGAGAAACUGCCGGGCUUGAGUAUGGGAGAGGUGAGUGGAAUUCCUGGUGUAGCGGUGAAAUGCGUAGAUAUCAGGAGGAACACCUGUGGCGAAAGCGGCUCACUGGACCAUAACUGACGCUGAUGCACGAAAGCUAGGGGAGCAAACAGG
Molecule: ribosomal RNA, 253 nt
Filed under: uncultured bacterium
Lineage: Bacteria
Description: partial 16S ribosomal RNA
Rfam family: Bacterial small subunit ribosomal RNA
Source: RNAcentral